UCGCUGCUAUGUCUCCUCUCUCCCUAUUAGUCGCCGCUGAUUUGAUCAUACGGUUCUUAGUACAUAUCUGUUUGUUUCUUGGAUGAUCUGCCCCUUGUCUGCUUGUUUGUCGGUCACUGAACUUGGGGAGGUUUUGUUUCUCGAUGAUUUCGGGUCUAUAAUCGUGGGGAAUCUGGUUGUAGAUGAUAUGUUAGAGUGAUUUUUUAUAGGAUUUCGGUUUCUGUGUUUUAAUCUUGUGUUAGGUGAUAGGGAUUUCAUGACUCUGCAGGAUCUGCAACAGCUGUAAGCAUCGGGAGAUUUGAUUCACCCAGAAGUUCUUCCUCAGUGACAUUGUUGUCCACAAGAUAAAAGUUUGCUGCUGGGAGGAUUCUAUUUUUAGUUACUGGUUUUGAGAAGACAGCAAGUUCUCAGAUCUUUCUUGAAGUUCUGAUGGAUGGCGCAGUUAGUACUAUAUUGGUAUUGCCCUGGAUUAUUGAAGCUCUGCAAUGAUCUGGCAAUAGUUUUUUUUUCCCAUCUUUGCAAGAGGAGGCAACCUAUGGGGAUGGUGGGACCUCUGACCAGUGACCACAUGUUUGGAGCAAGACAUUAAGUUAAGGUUGUGUUUGGAACUCCAAGUUCCCAACACUCUCCUCUCGUUUUCCGCGCGCACGCUCUUCAAACUGUUAAACAGUGCGUUUUUUAAAAAAAAAGUUUAUAUACGCAAGUUGCUUAAAAAAAUCUUAUUGAUCCAUUUUUGAAAAAUAAAUGGACUAAUACUUAAUUAAUCAUGUGCUAAUGGACUGCUCCGUUUUCCGUGCGCCCUAUUAGAGUUGGGAACUCACGCAUCCGAACACAGUCUAAGUGUUUCUUCUGUGUUUGGUUUCCGAUAUGCUAUCGGGACAUGUUUUAUAACAAGUGAUAUCAGAGCCGAAGAUUUCAGCAUUGAAUCAAGAAAAAAUGUGGAGGAGGAAACACGAAUUAGUUCAUUUUUGUGAUGUUAAUGCGAAGGCUUCGGCUAAGGUUGUUUUUGCUGCGGCUGCAUCUGCGAUCAAAUUAAUGUUUUCUUAAAUUAUAUUUUUUCGUGAUGUUCUUCAGUGUGUUUCUUAAUUAGUAACAAUAACACUGAGGUCCCAUUAUACUGCCACCCGUUCAAUUAUUUAAUAAACUUGCCAAUGGGAAACUAAAAUCGGGCUACAUGAUGGAUUACGCAGGUUCAACAUUCUCUAUUGUCUGAAUAUUUUAGUUAACUUUUAAGUAAAAAAUCUGGGCACAGUUAACCUACUUUCUACGCUUAUCUUUUAGCCUCAAUAUACACCUGAAUUCUUGCUCCAGGGAGUGCAACAAUUCCAUGUAACCAAAAGUAUGAAGUGGACAUAGUACAGUUCAAGAAUAGGUUCUUCUCCACAAAAACAAAUUGGCAAAGUGAGGCAAAGCUUAUUGAAUUAGCAAGGUAGUGCAAAAAUUCCCUGUAACCAAAAGUAUGAAGUGGAUACGAUCAAGAAAAGGCUCUUCACGAAAAUAAUUUGGCAAGGUAAGGAUAUAUAGGAUGCAACAGCAAAGUUUGUUGUAGUUAAUUUGUAAGCUUGUUGCAGCACCACAAAUGAUAUUUUAGUUUAGAGGGGAAUUGCAAUCUUUUUUAUGAUUAGGCUUAUCACCUUAGAGUUGAAAAAUCUGGGAUUGCAAGAGGCAUUGCAAGGGAGAACUUUUGAAAAGGAAUUGUGAGUACAAAGAAGAGAUCACAACAGGUACAGAGUUCUUACAUUGCAUUGACAUAUGAUUUUUUAAAAAAAUCCUGCAAAAGGCUCUGGUUUUCCUUAUAUUUGUUCAGACUAUUUUGUGUCCAUGUUUUGAGGAUGGAUUAAUUUCCCAAGCACCUCAAUGUGAUGUUAUACAACCCUUGACACAACAUAAACACCAGCUGUCUUUUUUUUUGGACAACACCGUGUCAAGCGAAUGGAGAUCUGGUAAUUGAUCACGGUGUGUGCAUGUAUGCCCCUGUAUUUGAAUUCUCUCAAUAUUAUCAGACCUGUACUAGUUUUUUAUUUAUCAGAGUUGUUUCUCACCUACUAUACCACUUGAUAGGAAUAUUUAGCAUGUGCACAUAGGCUAUCGAUAUCUUUAGUGCCUAUAUUCUUUGGCUUUGGCAACUAUAAGAAACUAAUGAGGAAGGACAAGCAGCUUAUUCUGCACGGUCUUAACGAGGUUAUCUCGAGGUGGGUGUGCAACAGGAGAGAUGAGGCUGGUGCUAUUUCUUCCCACUCACGGGAUCUGUCUGUCUUCAUUUGUCUAGCGGAAGCUUUUUGUUUAUCUGCAGAAACUACUACAGAACAACCAUUUUUGUCAUUCCUGCCUUUGUUUCAUCUGUAGUAAAUUUGACUUAUGAAGCAUAGCAUAUUGUGGUAUUGCCUAUGAUUCUACUUGCAAGGAAUAAAAUGUGCCCCGAUUAUAGUGUAUUUGAAAAAAAAACAGAACUAUAAGAUAAUGUCAUUAUUGUUUUUCCUAGCAACGAAAGUCUGUGAUUCAGAGAACAAUACUACUAUACAUACUGCU
Molecule: long non-coding RNA, 2529 nt
Organism: Oryza sativa Japonica Group (Japanese rice)
Lineage: Eukaryota; Viridiplantae; Streptophyta; Magnoliopsida; Poales; Poaceae
Source: RefSeq, a predicted model, not a curated record